AAAAAACGCCUAUAGACGCAAAUCUAAGUUUGACAGCAAGAAAAAACCACCCGCCAUGUCAGUAAAUUAUCUCUCUCUCUCUCUAUAUAUAUCUAUCUAUCUAUGAAUUUAGUGUGCUUUGAUAGUAGACGAGAGGUUUUUCUCUUUUGUUUGUUUUGUUUUAGUAGGAUGGUGGAUUUUGUCGUAGGAUAUAUACCGGUGAUAAACAUCCAUGUUUUUCUUUCCAUAUUUUUUUCACCCUCCUUUCCAGUUGCAUUUGAUUUUUCAAUCUUUCGAAUUAAUUUGGUAAGUUCUCUCUGUUGUGAAUAUCCCUCUUCGAAAUAAUUACUUUAAUUAUGAGGAACUUUUGAAUUUAUUUGAGUUGAAAACAAGUUCUAACGGUCACUUUAUUUGUUCAAGUUAUGCCACAUGGUGACGGGAAGAACUUAUUCACGUUAAUUCAUUAUUCUAAUUAAUCGAUGCAAGCCUAAACAAAUAUCGACUGUCAAUUUGAUUGUUAAUUCGUUACCGAAGGAUCAAAAGGACUUCUCUAUUGUACAACUAUUGAAACCAUGCACUUCUCUUGCUGCAAAAACUUGACUACAGUGUGAUGUCCACAUGGUAUUAGUUUAUUAGUUUAUGUUUAUUAUUUCUAAAGUCGAUUUAUUUAUUUUGAUAGUUGUACUAUUGUUUGUUGUUUCUGUUUGUGCUCCAAGUAUCAAUUCUGUUUGUUGAUUCUUUAAGAAACCUGUAUUUUUUCUAGGUUUCUCAGUUAAAUCUCUUAAUAUCUUUAUUGCUAAAGUUGUAUGAAUUGUUGUUACCUUUUGUGUUUCAUUUUUUAAACCAAUUGUUUCUUUUGGCAUAACAUCUGAGUUUUUUGCUAAAAUAUCUGAAUUUCUUUAUUUCAAUAGUUGUCAGAAUAGUUUUGUUUUUUUAAUUCCUUCUAAAAUCAUAGUUGUGCUAAUGCUAAAUUACUUCUGUUUAUGCUCCAUUUCUUAAGUCGUAUUUUGCUUUUGCUAGAAUUCUGUCUUUUGCUAACUUUCUCGAUUAAAUAUCUGAUUUUAUUUAUUUCGAUGGAUGUAUUGAUAUUUGUUGUUUCUAUUUUUUUUAUAAGACUACGGAAGAAUCUUUCUUUUUGUUACUAUUUAAUAUUUAACAAAACAAAUAUUUUGUUUUCAUUGUUUAUUAAUAAGCAAAAUCCCAACACGACUUCUGCAAAAUUUAUGUAAUUACAUGUGUAUAAGCAAAGUCACAAAAGAAAGAGGACUAUGAAUUCCACUUGAAGCAUUUUCAUAGCUUUUUCGAAGAGAGAAGGAUAAUAUUGAUAUUUUGGAAAUUUGACAAUACCUUUAAUUUAAUUUAUGUAUUUUCACAUCAGUUAUUAUUGUUCUAAUUUCUGUACUUUUUAUUUGAUAAUUUCUCCAUAUAUUUCACAUAAGUUGUCCUUUAAAGUUUUCCUGUCUGAUUUGCUUUGAGCUAUUUUUAAUGCAAUAGUUUGCUUCUCCUUUAUAAUAACGUGUGACAUACUUGAAUGUUUGUGUUCUGAUUUAAAUGGCUAGGAGUUGGGGUAAUGAAGAAGACGUUUUUCAUUAUAUAUAUAUAUAUAUAUAUAUAUAUAUAUAUAUAUAUAUAUAUAUAUAUAUAUAUAUAUAUAUAUAUAUAUAAACUUAACAUUACUUUUAUUUAUUCUUUAGGAUUUCAUAUGUGAUAAUGAUGCCACAAUUUCUUUACGAAAAUCAUUGAAGAAACGAACUGGUGAUCGUGUUGAUAUCUACAAUAUGUCAGGUGAUCGUGUUGAUAUCUACAAUAUGUCAGGUGAUGGAGCAAUUCAAGUUUCCAACUUUGAAGAGUAUAUGUAUCUACAAGUUUUCGUUUAUAUAGUUUGUUAAGUUAUUUGUUAUUGUAUUUUUCUAUAAGUUAUUUGUUAUUUUCUAUAAUUUUCCGCUCGAUAAUUUAUUUUUAAACAUGUAAAAGUUUGAUCUAUGUUUGUUCAAACAUUGUCCUACAGUACACAAACGUGACGCGUGCUAUUUUUUCCAAUAGUAACUUUGGCAUUUACUAAUGUUAUAUAUUCAAUAUGCCCG
RNAcentral lists this long non-coding RNA (2063 nucleotides) under Erythranthe guttata (spotted monkey flower). RNAcentral describes it as "long non-coding RNA (EGUT_LNC000069)". Lineage: Eukaryota; Viridiplantae; Streptophyta; Magnoliopsida; Lamiales; Phrymaceae. The record is from RNAcentral.